GACGAACGCUGGCGGCGUGCUUAACACAUGCAAGUCGAACGGAAAGGCCCUGCUUUUGUGGGGUGCUCGAGUGGCGAACGGGUGAGUAACACGUGAGUAACCUGCCCUUGACUUUGGGAUAACUUCAGGAAACUGGGGCUAAUACCGGAUAGGAGCUCCUGCUGCAUGGUGGGGGUUGGAAAGUUUCGGCGGUUGGGGAUGGACUCGCGGCUUAUCAGCUUGUUGGUGGGGUAGUGGCUUACCAAGGCUUUGACGGGUAGCCGGCCUGAGAGGGUGACCGGCCACAUUGGUACUGAGAUACGGCCCAGACUCCUACGGGAGGCAGCAGUGGGGAAGAUUGCAGAAUGGGCGGAAGCCUGAUGCAGCAACGCCGCGUGCGGGAUGACGGCCUUCGGGUUGUAAACCGCUUUCGCCUGUGACGAAGCGUGAGUGACGGUAAUGGGUAAAGAAGCACCGGCUAACUACGUG
Molecule: ribosomal RNA, 468 nt
Filed under: uncultured bacterium
Lineage: Bacteria
Description: partial 16S ribosomal RNA
Rfam family: Bacterial small subunit ribosomal RNA
Source: RNAcentral